AUCUGCCUACCUUACCAAUUUAUUUGCCUCCUUCUUCGUCAUUGGAUUUGAAUGUUUCAUUAGCUUUCCAUAACAGAGAGAGAAGAGGGAAAGAGAGAUAAAGAACUUAUGGAAAUUUUUGGCUAUGGGAGGUUUGGCAAGAGUAAAAAUAAUUAUUUACAAGAUAAAAAAUAAUAAUAGCAUGUUUUUUCCUGCCUAUUCCUCCCAUGCCAAUGAUUUCCUUUUGUUCCUCUCUUUCCCUUCUUGCUCUGCACUCAUUGAUGAUGAGAUAAGACAGAGAAGCUGCCGAAAUUUUUGGACAAAACUAGACAGAGCGAAUCUUUAGUACUGCGAGAAAGAUGCGUAGCAUUGGCAACCGCAGACAACUUUUUUAUAUGGUCGGUCCCAAAAUCUUCCUCUUGAAAGCCCUAGCAAAGCAAAUUUGCAAAAACGCAUAUCCGCAGAGAAAAAAAAAUUGAAAACAGAGAGACGGGAAAGGUAGCAAAGAGUUAGGAGGUUAUUAGGAAUGGGCGGAUGGGAUAAGAAAUUUAAUAAAGUUCAUAGAUCUUACUAUGAACUAACAAGUUUCUUUCCUAUUCCUCCCAUUCCAUUCAAUUUCCUAAUUUCCUUCCUUUCCCUCUGUUCUCUCUCUCCUACUAAUCAUACAUUUUCCAUCUCAAAAAGAAGCACUAUCAAGAUUAACACACAGGAAAAAUGGAUCCGGAAAUUUGCUAAGUAUUAAACUUUGCAGCUUUUGAUUGUAGGUAACGUUAUUUGAAUCAAACUGCAUCUUUAGAUUUGGACCUUUACAAUUUUUCAUCCAUUAAAGAUGGCAAAUGAAAUCCCGAACUUAGAAGCUGAAAUUUCUCCGUUGUAUAUUACCAAUGGUAAAGGCGACUCGAAGAAACCUGUACACUAUAUUUGAGACCAAAGAACGAACAAACAAAACAAUAAAGGUUUAUUUUGUAAGAAAUAACAGCAAAUACUAAUUAGUUUUUUUA
Molecule: long non-coding RNA, 980 nt
Organism: Ziziphus jujuba (common jujube)
Lineage: Eukaryota; Viridiplantae; Streptophyta; Magnoliopsida; Rosales; Rhamnaceae
Exons: 3
Source: RefSeq, a predicted model, not a curated record